ACCUGGGUGGCUCAGUAGAGCAUGUGACUUUUGAUCUCAGAGUUGUGGGUUUGAGCCCCACGUUGUGUG
This 69-nucleotide transfer RNA is filed under the name Ailuropoda melanoleuca (giant panda). It matches the Rfam family "tRNA". Rfam says of the family: Transfer RNA (tRNA) molecules are approximately 80 nucleotides in length. Their secondary structure includes four short double-helical elements and three loops (D, anti-codon, and T loops). The record is from Rfam by way of RNAcentral. Lineage: Eukaryota; Metazoa; Chordata; Mammalia; Carnivora; Ursidae.